CGAUAGAGGUGCAUUUUGUUAUGAGUAGUUGCGACGUAAAGGUUUGCCGAAGCCGUUGCAAUGAAAGGAGCAGGUGCCGAAGACGAUUUACGGCAAAAAAUCGAUCUGGCAAUGGGGAAUAAGAUCCGUAUUGCUGUCACCGUUUUGGUGGAGAGCUAUCUU
This 162-nucleotide non-coding RNA is filed under the name human gut metagenome. Its description in RNAcentral is "Lysine riboswitch". It matches the Rfam family "Lysine riboswitch aptamer". Rfam says of the family: Riboswitches are metabolite binding domains within certain messenger RNAs that serve as precision sensors for their corresponding targets. Allosteric rearrangement of mRNA structure is mediated by ligand binding, and this results in modulation of gene expression. The record is from RNAcentral.